RNAcentral lists this ribosomal RNA (883 nucleotides) under Vibrio neocaledonicus. Its description in RNAcentral is "bacterial SSU rRNA". It matches the Rfam family "Bacterial small subunit ribosomal RNA", at positions 151 to 1029 of the family's 1533-position model. Lineage: Bacteria; Pseudomonadati; Pseudomonadota; Gammaproteobacteria; Vibrionales; Vibrionaceae. The record is from RNAcentral.
UGGAAACGAUGGCUAAUACCGCAUGAUGCCUACGGGCCAAAGAGGGGGACCUUCGGGCCUCUCGCGUCAGGAUAUGCCUAGGUGGGAUUAGCUAGUUGGUGAGGUAAGGGCUCACCAAGGCGACGAUCCCUAGCUGGUCUGAGAGGAUGAUCAGCCACACUGGAACUGAGACACGGUCCAGACUCCUACGGGAGGCAGCAGUGGGGAAUAUUGCACAAUGGGCGCAAGCCUGAUGCAGCCAUGCCGCGUGUGUGAAGAAGGCCUUCGGGUUGUAAAGCACUUUCAGUCGUGAGGAAGGUGGUGUCGUUAAUAGCGGCGUUGUUUGACGUUAGCGACAGAAGAAGCACCGGCUAACUCCGUGCCAGCAGCCGCGGUAAUACGGAGGGUGCGAGCGUUAAUCGGAAUUACUGGGCGUAAAGCGCAUGCAGGUGGUUUGUUAAGUCAGAUGUGAAAGCCCGGGGCUCAACCUCGGAAUAGCAUUUGAAACUGGCAGACUAGAGUACUGUAGAGGGGGGUAGAAUUUCAGGUGUAGCGGUGAAAUGCGUAGAGAUCUGAAGGAAUACCGGUGGCGAAGGCGGCCCCCUGGACAGAUACUGACACUCAGAUGCGAAAGCGUGGGGAGCAAACAGGAUUAGAUACCCUGGUAGUCCACGCCGUAAACGAUGUCUACUUGGAGGUUGUGGCCUUGAGCCGUGGCUUUCGGAGCUAACGCGUUAAGUAGACCGCCUGGGGAGUACGGUCGCAAGAUUAAAACUCAAAUGAAUUGACGGGGGCCCGCACAAGCGGUGGAGCAUGUGGUUUAAUUCGAUGCAACGCGAAGAACCUUACCUACUCUUGACAUCCAGAGAACUUUCCAGAGAUGGAUUGGUGCCUUCGGGAACUC